Molecule: transfer RNA, 64 nt
Filed under: Balneola sp.
Lineage: Bacteria; Pseudomonadati; Balneolota; Balneolia; Balneolales; Balneolaceae
Description: tRNA-Arg
Rfam family: tRNA
About the family: Transfer RNA (tRNA) molecules are approximately 80 nucleotides in length.
Source: RNAcentral
ACACUCAUAGCAUAACUGGAUAAUGCAACGGCCUUCUAAGCCGUAGAUUGCAGGUUCGAGUCCU